This 1779-nucleotide non-coding RNA is filed under the name Pongo abelii (Sumatran orangutan). Lineage: Eukaryota; Metazoa; Chordata; Mammalia; Primates; Hominidae. The record is from RNAcentral.
AACUGGCCUGUGUAAGCGGAUGGGCUCGGCCUCAAGGACAGGGUGCUCGGCUGAAAAAAAAAGCUCGCGGCGAUCACCGAUGCCAGGGUUCUCCAGAAACGGAGCCCAUCUAACCAAUGCCCAGCACACUCGCUCGGCUCCACACACGAGACCACCUCCGACCCGCACUAAGUCGGCCAACUGCACUCUGGAGGCGGCGGCAGCCAGCGAGGGAGAAAGGGAACUUGAGAAGGGGAAGGCUGUCCCGGGACCCCGAGGAGGACAGCCCCGCUACCGGGAACGGGGUGCGGCAUAAAACACCUCCGGCUUAGGGCCGACCCUCCCUGACCCCUGGAGGCCCAGGCGGGGCGGCUGGGGGUGACGCGGCAGGGGUCUCCGCGCCCAGGCUCCCGCGGAGCACCCACACGUGGAGGUUCCCACUUUGGGGUCGCGGCCGCAGCAGCACCGGGCGGGGUGCUGUCCGCGCUGCCCGCAUACGGCCGCGGCCUGAGUGGAGACGCCUGCCCCCAGCCCCGCGGCCUCGGCCCCCGUCCGCCCUCCCUCCCUGCUCGGCGGCCUCGUACUCACGCUGACUUCAUGGCAGCAGGCUCCACGCCGCUCAAACGCGCGCGCGGGACGGCUGGCUGGCGAAGACUGCGGGACGUUAGGACCGGCAGCAGGAACGGGGACUCCGCGGCUAAGGCGCGGUGCUCUGCGAAGCUGGCGGCGACGCUAAGAGCCCAGGUGAGCUCCCGCCUGGCGCAUUUCAAACGGGCCAAUCAGCGCCCGUCCGCAGGGAGAAGCCGGACCUCCGCGGAAGUGACUGAGCUGCCGGAAGUGGCGCUUGUCUCCUAGGCGACCGACGCGGAAAGGGCCACGGAGUCGUGUGUCGGGGCUGGAGGGAGAUCUUGAGAAACUCCAUUUUGAUCUGUACUAAGAAAAAUCUCCUUAUUUCUUUUCUCAGUCUCGUCCUACCUGACGAGAAAUACCCACAGGUGUGGAGGGGCUGGCCCCCUUCACCUGGGUCUCGACUCCUGUUUUGUUCUACGGUUCCCAUUGCAGUGCUGUGACCCCCAGAAGCUCAGGAAAACCACUGACUUCCUGGUGUUGCCAACAGGCAGAGAGGAGAUGCAGCCAGUCCUUACCCUGUAGAAGAUGGGGAGGGAGUCCCAGGUGUACGGAUAAGCAAAGGCGAGGACACGAAUCACCUUACAGAGUCUGGGCUUCUGGAUUUCAAGAAACCUAAAUCAGGGAAGGAAAGUGGGGGAGGAAAUGGAAUGAAAAGAGUCUCAGCAAAUUGCACACGCACGUGCGUGCACACCGAGGGCCUGGUCAUCAACAGAGGACAAGCAUUUUUGUGCAAGCUCCUGUGGCCAGCAGCUUCUCCACCACCCUCGUCCAUUCCUCCCCACCCCAAUGGAAGUGACAAAACUUCAGAUGCGAAAAGAUCUCCAGAGACCUGACCAUGAGAAGCAGUGGUGUCCAGACUAAGCCAGAAAGGAGGCGCUGGGCAGAAACCCUUCGAGGGCCAAGUUAUGUAACUGCCAAAGAAUCUUUUAAAACUCUAGUUGCUACAGGGACAGGGAACAGGUAGGGGGAAUUGGGGGAUCCACUGCCACAGACUCUUGAGGGGCACACUCUGCAAAGGCUGAGAUGCACCCAUCUAGUUGGAGCCCAGGUAUUAUCAUGCAGGAGACCUGGGUUCGAGUAGGUGUUUGAUCCUUGGAGAGCUUUCUGGAAUAUUUAUACCACACACAGGGAUACUUGGCUUGGGAAAACUAAAUAAAUGUGAAGUCUUUC